This 76-nucleotide transfer RNA is filed under the name Actinomycetota bacterium. RNAcentral describes it as "Actinobacteria bacterium (hot springs metagenome) tRNA-His". It matches the Rfam family "tRNA". From Rfam's summary of the family: Transfer RNA (tRNA) molecules are approximately 80 nucleotides in length. Their secondary structure includes four short double-helical elements and three loops (D, anti-codon, and T loops). Lineage: Bacteria; Bacillati; Actinomycetota. The record is from RNAcentral.
GUGAACGUAGCUCAGCCGGUAGAGCACUGGGUUGUGGCCCCAGCGGCCGCGGGUUCGAGUCCCGUCGUUCACCCCU